This 2894-nucleotide ribosomal RNA is filed under the name Stenotrophomonas sp. YAU14A_MKIMI4_1. Its description in RNAcentral is "23S ribosomal RNA". It matches the Rfam family "Bacterial large subunit ribosomal RNA". The record is from RNAcentral. Lineage: Bacteria; Pseudomonadati; Pseudomonadota; Gammaproteobacteria; Lysobacterales; Lysobacteraceae.
GUUAUAUGGUCAAGCGAAUAAGCGCACACGGUGGAUGCCUUGGCGGUCAGAGGCGAUGAAGGACGUGGCAGCCUGCGAAAAGUAUCGGGGAGCUGGCAACAAGCUUUGAUCCGGUAAUGUCCGAAUGGGGAAACCCACCCGCUUGCGGGUAUCCUGCAGUGAAUACAUAGCUGCUGGAAGCGAACCUGGUGAACUGAAAUAUCUAAGUAACCAGAGGAAAAGAAAUCAACCGAGAUUCCGUAAGUAGCGACGAGCGAACGCGGACUAGCCCUUAAGCUGAUUUGGUUCUAGGAAAACGCUUUGGAAAGAGCGGCCAUAGAAGGUGAUAGCCCUGUAUCUGAAAGGGCCAUUUCAGUGAAGACGAGUAGGGCGGGGCACGUGAAACCCUGUCUGAACAUGGGGGGACCAUCCUCCAAGGCUAAAUACUACUGACCGACCGAUAGUGAACCAGUACCGUGAGGGAAAGGCGAAAAGAACCCCGGAGAGGGGAGUGAAAUAGAACCUGAAACCGUGUGCGUACAAGCAGUAGGAGCUCCGCAAGGAGUGACUGCGUACCUUUUGUAUAAUGGGUCAGCGACUUACUGUUCGUGGCAAGCUUAACCGUAUAGGGGAGGCGAAGGGAAACCGAGUCUGAUAAGGGCGCAUAGUCGCGGGCAGUAGACCCGAAACCGGGUGAUCUAGUCAUGCCCAGGGUGAAGGUGCGGUAACACGCACUGGAGGCCCGAACCCACUCCCGUUGCAAAGGUAGGGGAUGAGGUGUGAUUAGGAGUGAAAAGCUAAUCGAACCCGGAGAUAGCUGGUUCUCCUCGAAAGCUAUUUAGGUAGCGCCUCAUAUGUAUCCUCUCGGGGGUAGAGCACUGUUAUGGCUAGGGGGUCAUCGCGACUUACCAAACCAUUGCAAACUCCGAAUACCGAGACGGACUGUAUGGGAGACACACGGCGGGUGCUAACGUCCGUCGUGAAAAGGGAAACAACCCAGACCCACAGCUAAGGUCCCAAAUUUUGUGCUAAGUGGAAAACCAUGUGGAAAGGCACAGACAGCCAGGAGGUUGGCUUAGAAGCAGCCACCCUUUAAAGAAAGCGUAAUAGCUCACUGGUCGAGUCGGUCUGCGGGGAAGAUUUAACGGGGCUAAGCACAGAACCGAAGCUUGGGGUGCAUAACUUUGUUAUGCGCGGUAGAGGAGCGUUCCGUAAGCCGUUGAAGGUGGAUUGAGAAGUCUGCUGGAGGUAUCGGAAGUGCGAAUGCUGACAUGAGUAACGAUAAUGCGGGUGAAAAACCCGCACGCCGAAAGCCCAAGGUUUCCUUGCGCAACGUUAAUCGGCGCAGGGUGAGUCGGCCCCUAAGGCGAGGACGAAAGUCGUAGUCGAUGGGAAGCAGGUUAAUAUUCCUGCACCUCGCGUAAGUGCGAUGGAGGGACGGAGAAGGUUAGGUGUACCAGGCGUUGGUUGUCCUGGGGAAAGGCGGUAGGUUUGGAUCUUUGGCAAAUCCGGGAUCCUUUAAGACCGAGCACCGAGACGAGCCUUUAUGGCGAAGUCACUGAUACCACGCUUCCAGGAAAAGCUCCUAAGCUUCAGCUUACGCAGACCGUACCGUAAACCGACACAGGUGGGUAGGAUGAGAAUUCUCAGGCGCUUGAGAGAACUCGGGUGAAGGAACUAGGCAACAUGGCACCGUAACUUCGGGAGAAGGUGCACCCUUGGUGGUGGCUCAUGCGAGCACAAGCUACCGAGGGUCGCAGUAACCAGGCCGCUGCGACUGUUUAUCAAAAACACAGCACUCUGCAAACACGAAAGUGGACGUAUAGGGUGUGACGCCUGCCCGGUGCUGGAAGGUUAAUUGAUGGGGUCAGCCGCAAGGCGAAGCUCUUGAUCGAAGCCCCAGUAAACGGCGGCCGUAACUAUAACGGUCCUAAGGUAGCGAAAUUCCUUGUCGGGUAAGUUCCGACCUGCACGAAUGGCGUAACGACAGCGGCGCUGUCUCCACCCGAGACUCAGUGAAAUUGAAAUCGCUGUGAAGAUGCAGCGUUCCCGUGGCAAGACGGAAAGACCCCGUGAACCUUUACUAUAGCUUUACACUGAACGUUGAGUUCGUCUGUGUAGGAUAGGUGGGAGGCUAUGAAACUGUGGCGCUAGCUGCAGCGGAGCCAUCCUUGAAAUACCACCCUGUCGUGCUUGACGUUCUAACCUGGGCCCAUUAUCUGGGUCGGGGACCGUGUAUGGUGGGUAGUUUGACUGGGGCGGUCUCCUCCUAAAGAGUAACGGAGGAGCUCGAAGGUACGCUCAGCGCGGUCGGACAUCGCGCACUGUGUGCAAAGGCAUAAGCGUGCUUGACUGCAAGAUCGACGGAUCAAGCAGGUAGGAAACUAGGACUUAGUGAUCCGGUGGUUCUGUAUGGAAGGGCCAUCGCUCAACGGAUAAAAGGUACUCCGGGGAUAACAGGCUGAUACCGCCCAAGAGUUCAUAUCGACGGCGGUGUUUGGCACCUCGAUGUCGGCUCAUCACAUCCUGGGGCUGUAGUCGGUCCCAAGGGUAUGGCUGUUCGCCAUUUAAAGUGGUACGCGAGCUGGGUUCAGAACGUCGUGAGACAGUUCGGUCCCUAUCUGCCAUGGGCGUUGGAGAUUUGAGAGGGGCUGCUCCUAGUACGAGAGGACCGGAGUGGACGAACCUCUGGUGUUCCGGUUGUCACGCCAGUGGCAUUGCCGGGUAGCUAUGUUCGGAAGCGAUAACCGCUGAAAGCAUCUAAGCGGGAAGCGCGCCUCAAGAUGAGAUCUCCCGGGGCACAAGCCCCCUGAAGGAACCAUGUAGACUACGUGGUUGAUAGGUCAGGUGUGUAAGUGCAGCAAUGCAUUGAGCUAACUGAUACUAAUGAUCCGUGCGGCUUGACCAUAUAACCU